GCACUGCUGAGGAGUCGCAUACUAAGAUGAAACGGCCGUCCGGUGC
Schistosoma margrebowiei is the source of this 46-nucleotide non-coding RNA. The record is from Rfam. NCBI's taxonomy places the organism in Eukaryota, Metazoa, Platyhelminthes, Trematoda, Strigeidida, Schistosomatidae.